Molecule: long non-coding RNA, 645 nt
Filed under: Homo sapiens (human)
Lineage: Eukaryota; Metazoa; Chordata; Mammalia; Primates; Hominidae
Description: HSALNT0332974
Source: RNAcentral
AAGCCGCUCGUGUCCCUUUCCACCCUGAAAAUUUUGUUUUUUUGUUCUUUGCAAUAAGUCAUGCUGCUGCUCCCUAGGUUCACCCUGCCUUUGUGAGCUGUAACACUCACCGUGAAAGUCUGCAGCUUGACUCUUGAGCCAGUAAGACCAGGAGCCCACCAGAAGGAGGAAACUCCGAACACAUCUGAAUAUCAGAAGGAACAGAACACAUCUGAAUAUCAGAAGGAACAAACUCCGGACACGCUACCUUUAAAAACUGUAAUACUCACCGCGAGGGUCUGCGGUUUCAUUCAUGAAGUCAGUGAGACAAAGAACUCACCAAUUCCGGACACAGUGGGAGCAAAGGCAUGGCAGGAGGAGAGAACUGCGUGUGUGAGGAAUAAAAACAACAUGUUGCAAUUGAGGAAGGCGUGAAUUUAUGGGGAGAAUACAGAGAUGAAGACUUAAAACGAAUGGAAGGCCAAGGAGAUGAAAUGGAAGACUUUGGACAGAACUUCUGGGAAAGCUCUUUAAAGCAGUCUACUAGACUGGCAAGCAGACAUUCAUUCUCCUCUUCUGACUUAGACAUGGUAUUUUUAGCUCCAGCAGCCGUCCUGUGAAGAUGGGAGCACACGCUAAGGGCAGCAGAAAAGAAAGCCAGAAGGA